AUACCUUUUCGGCGGUUCCUACUUCGGAUCCUUUACCAAUGCUAUGGGCGAGGCGUCUUGUUGGGUAACUCUCAAGUUAUCUUUCGUCAUAUCAAUAAUGCUGCUGAUUUCGUGGCGAUCCUUUUUCGUUGAUACGACGAUGUUGAACCUCGUUGGUCACAAGCCAAAACUUUGCGCCAUUCGGGCGCACAGUCAACGUAGUCACCUACUUCCCUCUAUAUCACACCACCUCGCAACUGGAAAAAUCAUUCCUGCACGAACUCGACAAAACUUUUGCAGAUUUUCUCCUGCUAGUGGCCAACGUCCCACACAACGCUCACACGGACUUUCUGUAUGCUUAUUGUCGGGCCGCUGGUCUUGGAGCCUCCCGUCUCACGGAAGACGCGGACGUGAGCUGGAUAAAAAAUAUCUCUUCCUCCGUGGUUCCUACGUUUGAAAAGGGGGAGGGGGGGAGAGAUGGUAGUCAUUUUAUUAACAGGACGUCACGUUGAUGAGAUGUCUCUCCGUCAUUUCUUCCUCCGUGUUUUCUAGUAUCGAACAAAUUAAAUAUGAAUUCCUUCCACUAACCUAAACGGCACCGUAAAUUGCCUUUGCACAUUUAUAAAAAUUGCCACGGACAAAUGGAACAGCUGAUGUUCUUGCUAUGCCUUGCAAUAUCAUCAGCUCAAUAACGAUAAACUUACUUCAUUAUAUGACUUGGUGAUGGGGUUGAAACAUAAAUUGUGAUGGGCACUUCGUGCUCAAGUCUAGGAAGUAGGAUGGGAAAUUUAAAAAAAUAAGAGAUUUCUUCUGAAUUAAGGAUUUUUGAUUCAAGAAACGUAAAUGGAAAAAUGAAAAAAACGAAAAACAACUUCAUUAUUCAUCUCCAAGUGUAAUGCUGCUACACUUGGAGAUAUGAUGGGGUUCCUCGGAAUCGUUUUUUUAAUGACCGCCUUCCAUGUAGUACGAAAAGUGUUGUACCAUUCCUCUUCGGAAAAGAGCUUGUGCCAAUUUCAAAAAGGCCAUCAGGUUGGCAUCCUUUUUUUAUGUCGCGCUGGUUGAUUCUACAGAACAAACUGAAAUAAAAAAAAAUUUUAAUUUUUGCAUUCAAACACAAUAUUUAUAAAUAACAUACCAUCAGUAAUGGAAAAUCGUCGAACUUUAUUCGCAUGGCAGAAACGCACACAAAAAGGGCCCCUUCUAUCCAUCUUGAGCUACUGCAACACUGGCGAAAAAGACAACAAAAUGGAAACAACAAGAUGGAAAAGGGCCGCCCAGGCAGCAGCAGACAACAGACAGUAAAAAAAGAGACGACGACCUCGAUCCACCCAUCCAUUUAUCUGACAAGUGCUGCGUCUUCCGCGAUUUCUUCUGUUCCACAACUUUCCAGCUAUAUUUUUCUUGUUUCCCGUGGGUAGCCAACGACAAAUGUUGGAAACUUUGUUGGAAUCGCAGACAAUUUCAUUUUCUUUUUAUUACCUUCGUAACAUGUUUCCUCAAAGUGAGCCUGACAAACAAAGGUGUUUGUGUAAGUUCUUCCAGCAGUGUUUCUAAAUGUCCUUUCUUUAAAACCACAAUUGGCAUCAAUUGCAUUUAACCAAUUUGUUCUCCGUUCCACGUUGGAAUGUAAUUCAUGAUAACGAAUUUCUUUUUUUU
Molecule: long non-coding RNA, 1635 nt
Filed under: Daphnia pulicaria
Lineage: Eukaryota; Metazoa; Arthropoda; Branchiopoda; Diplostraca; Daphniidae
Description: uncharacterized LOC124335761
Source: RNAcentral